This 253-nucleotide ribosomal RNA is filed under the name uncultured bacterium. Its description in RNAcentral is "partial 16S ribosomal RNA". It matches the Rfam family "Bacterial small subunit ribosomal RNA", at positions 524 to 776 of the family's 1533-position model. The record is from RNAcentral.
UACGAAGGGGGCUAGCGUUGUUCGGAAUUACUGGGCGUAAAGCGCGUGUAGGCGGGUCUUUAAGUCAGGGGGGAAAUCCCGGAGCUCAACUUCGGAACUGCCCUUGAUACAGCACGUCUUGAGUCCGGAAGAGGUGGGUGGAAUUCCUAGUGUAGAGGUGAAAUUCGUAGAUAUUCGCAAGAACACCAGUGGCGAAGGCGGCUCACUGGCCCGGUACUGACGCUGAGGUGCGAAAGCGUGGGGAGCAAACAGG